UGAACGCUGGCGGCGUGCCUAAUACAUACAAGUCGAGCGAACAGACGAGGAGCUUGCUCCUCUGACGUUAGCGGCGGACGGGUGAGUAACACGUGGAUAACCUACCUAUAAGACUGGGAUAACUUCGGGAAACCGGAGCUAAUACCGGAUAAUAUAUUGAACCGCAUGGUUCAAUAGUGAAAGACGGUUUUGCUGUCACUUAUAGAUGGAUCCGCGCCGCAUUAGCUAGUUGGUAAGGUAACGGCUUACCAAGGCAACGAUGCGUAGCCGACCUGAGAGGGUGAUCGGCCACACUGGAACUGAGACACGGUCCAGACUCCUACGGGAGGCAGCAGUAGGGAAUCUUCCGCAAUGGGCGAAAGCCUGACGGAGCAACGCCGCGUGAGUGAUGAAGGUCUUCGGAUCGUAAAACUCUGUUAUUAGGGAAGAACAAAUGUGUAAGUAACUAUGCACGUCUUGACGGUACCUAAUCAGAAAGCCACGGCUAACUACGUG
RNAcentral lists this ribosomal RNA (495 nucleotides) under uncultured bacterium. Its description in RNAcentral is "partial 16S ribosomal RNA". It matches the Rfam family "Bacterial small subunit ribosomal RNA", at positions 30 to 507 of the family's 1533-position model. The record is from RNAcentral.